UCUACGGCCAUACCACCCUGAACACGCCCGAUCUUGUCUGAUCUCGGAAGCUAAGCAGGGUCAGGCCUGGUUAGUACUUGGAUGGGAGAAAGGUAAAAUCCAUAUGAAAAGAUAAAAUACAGGAAGAA
Molecule: ribosomal RNA, 128 nt
Organism: Panthera tigris altaica (Amur tiger)
Lineage: Eukaryota; Metazoa; Chordata; Mammalia; Carnivora; Felidae
Source: Ensembl